RNAcentral lists this long non-coding RNA (7993 nucleotides) under Solanum lycopersicum (tomato). RNAcentral's name for it is "long non-coding RNA (SLYC_LNC001079)". Lineage: Eukaryota; Viridiplantae; Streptophyta; Magnoliopsida; Solanales; Solanaceae. The record is from RNAcentral.
GUGUUCUGAUCCAUGUCUCCGUGAGUUGCAGAUACUGUGUGAUCACGACCACGCAUUUUGUCAGUGAGCCAAUCAACCUUUCGCCUGGUGUUGACAAAGAUGACACUCUGGGUGAUGGCCAAGGUCUCGUAAAGAUCACAAAGUGUUUCAAGUUUCCACUCUUCCUUAUCGACGUUGACAUAGAAUUGCUUAAUACCUUCAAGAGUGAGCUCAUCACGCUUCACGAGAAUUCUCACUGGCUUGUUCAUGAAUUUUCUAGUAAUCUCAAGAGCCUCUGGUGGCAUUGUAGCAGAGAAAACACCCACUUGGAUCUUUGGUGGCAAAAGCUGGAAUAUAUCAUAAAUCUAGAAAAAAAUAAUUGCGUCAGCGGACAGGCUUCAUCAUCGAAACAAAGAAAAGACCAGUAAUUGUUAAAGGACACUAAAGCACAUCAAAGCUGUGAUUGUGGUGGUGGUGAGUUUCACCAACAAGCUGAUCAUAAACUGGCAUAUAUUUCAAGCAAACUGAACGUUGUAAAUGAAAGUGAGAACCUACACAGCAUGAAAUCAACCAGACUUGGCCACAGCGAUGAAUCUUGGGCCUCUAAUACCAGACACAUCCACAAAAUGAAUGGCUGUGGAUAUGCAAAGGACAUCAUAUGUACACUCAUUUAUGAUUUGACAUGAAAAUAUAAAUAGCACAAAAUAUAAGACUACUUCAAACAAGUCGCUAGAGAUAAUUUUCUCAUGUCUUACGGACCUUCAAGUGUCCUGGUCCAUAGGCACCUGACUACGAUGAUUGAACACGGCAGGAGGGAAUAAUAAUAAUCCUACAAGACUUCAAAUAAAACACAAUGAAGGCACAAUAUCCGUAUAUUAAUACGGACAAGUUAAGAGUCAGAACUUGGUGGUUCUUUUACUUGCAUCCAAUUCAGUGUUGGGGACUAGUUAGAUAUAACGCAAUGAAACUAAAAGAAAUUCUAACAAGGCAAAUACUGCUUUGAAUUAACAGAACAGAACAGCAAAAAAAUUAAGUAGAAGGGAGACCUGAUCCUUGAAACCUCUAGAGAGCAUUUCAUCAGCUUCAUCCAAAACAAACAUCUUGAUGUGGUCGGGGCGAAGAGACUGUCUGCGCAACAUGUCAAAGACACGGCCUGGAGUACCAACUACCACAUGAACACCACUCUGAAGGAUACGCUGAUCCUCACGGACACUGGUACCCCCAACACACGCAUGAACCUUCACGCCCAGAUAGUCUCCGAGCGCACGCAUAACCUUCUCAAUCUGUUGUGCCAGCUCACGGGUUGGUGCAAGAACAAGAGCCUGACAUUCAACUAAACUGUAAUCAAGUUGCUGGAGAACUCCAGAGCAGAAAGUUGCCGUCUUUCCAGUUCCCGAUUGUGCCUGCUGGAUAACAUCAAGGCCCUUGCAAAAGGGAACGAUGCCCCUUUGCUGAAUAGCUGAUGGCUUCUCAAAACCUUCAAGAAAUUCAAAACACUGUUCAGUGCCUGUAAAAUCUGAGAAUUGAGGAAAGGAAACCAGAAUAUAAGGAGAUGUCAAUUUUACCAUAGGCAUAGAUGCCUCUCAGAAGGUUUUCUUGCAAACCCAUGGCAUCAAAGCUGUCAUAAACCUCAUCAUAUGAUGUGAAAAAAUCUUGUUGUUCAGUACCAAGUCUGUUUUUGGCAUAUCAAAACAACCACAAAAGUCAAUCAAAUCAAUGGCAAAAGGUUAGAGGACAAAUAUCAGCAGAAACUGAUGAUCAAUAACCUCAGUACAGGAUGGAGAAGAGAUAACUUACAGCUCCGUCAUUUUCGCAUCGAAUUGACGAGCAUCAAACUGAGAACCCUCUGGUGCCGAGCCUGCCAUACUGCAGAGAAUAUAACAAAAAAGCAGAUAAAUCAGUUAAUUAUGCCUCAAUCUCAACAAGUGAAUAACAAAUCCUAUCAGAAGAUAUAGUAGACGAUAAACAGUGAAGGUAGAAGCCUAACUCUAUGACAUUAUCUUGAGACCCAAAACACUUCAUCAAAGACUCAAAAGAAAUAAUUUGUUCACCAAGUACUAUUAACUAAUUAUCAAAACUAGAAUUCUCAAAAUAAAAAAUAACAAAUCUUAUCAGUCACAUGGACAUUCAUUAAACAUCAUGAAGAAGACAACAAGGGAAGGUCAAAACUGGACUCCAUGGCACAUAAGAUAAUAACAAAAGGUAGUUUAAGGCCUAAAACACUUCAAAAAUAAAAUUUAUUCACCAGAUAUCAAUAAUAUUAUCUGUUCUUCCUUCAUUCAUGAGGGGCAUGCACAAGAGACAAUAUACAUCAUUUCUCCUUUUACUUUUUCUUUCCUGAGGAAGUAAAAGGAGCAGAAAGCAGAUAGAAAGAACUGUUUGACUACUUGCCAGACAGGUCAACCCUAUUUCUAUAGCUAUUUGACACAGAGUCAAGGUUACAAAAGUCGAGAAUGAGAGUGUUGGAGGAGAUGCUAAAACGGACCUACAAAUCAAACCAACCGAGAAUAGUGAAGAAUAAGCACGUGAACCCCACAAAACCCAACUGUCUGAAAGAUCACUACUUUGUGCCGAUGAAUCAUCAAAAACUCAAAAACCAUCAAAACUAAAACAUAUACAAAUCAGAACCAAUCCAAAUUAGUGAAGAGCAAGCACGGGAACCCCACAAAACCCAACAGUCUGAAAAAUCACUACUUUGUGCCAAUGAAUCAUCAAAAACUCAAAAACCAUCGAAACUAAAACAAGCAUAUACAAAUCAGAACCAAUCCAAAUUAGAGAAGAGCAAAGAAACAUACUCCAUAAUACCAAACUGUCUGAAAAAUCACUACUUUAUGCCGACAGAACAUCAAAAACUCAAAAUACCAUCAAAAUGGUGAAGCAAGGAACUAAGAAAACACAUAAAAAUCAAAACCAAAAACGUUGAACCACACAAAAACCUAACUGCAGAAAAACCACUACUUUAAACUCAAAACACCAUCUAAACUUAUAAACAUAUACAAAUCAAAACAAACCCAAAUUAGCAAAGAGCAAGAACGUUGAACCUCACAAAACCAAACUGUUUGAAAAAAACCCUACUUUACACCAAUAAAACAUCCAAACUCAAACACCAUCUAAACUAAACAAACAUAUACAAAAUCAAAACCAGCCCAAAUUAGUGAAGAUCCCACAAAACCCAACUAUAAAAAAUAACUACUUUACGGCGACGAAACAUCAAAAACUCAUACACCAUCUAAUCUGAAACAAGCAUAUAGAAAUCAAAACCAACCCAAAUUAGCGAAGAGCAAGACCAUCGAACCCCACAAACUGUCUGAAAAAAAACACUACUUUAUUCCAAUGAAUCAUCAAAACCUCAAGCACCAUCUAAACUAACACAAACACAAACAGAUACAAAUCAAAACCAACCCAAAUUAAUUAAAGAGCAAGAAUAUCAAACCCCACAAUACCGAACUGUCAGAAAAAUUCACUAAUUCACACCAAUGAAUAUUCAAAACCUCAAACACCAUCUAAACUAAAUCAAACACAAACAGAUACAAAUAAAAACCAAUCCAAAUUAGUUAAGAGCAAGAACAUCAAACCCACAAUACCCAACUGUCUGAAAAUCAUUACUUUAUGAAUCCUCAAAAACUCAAACACCAUCUUAACAACAAACAUACACAAAUCAAACCCAACUCAAAUUAGUAAAAACCAACAACAUCCAACCCCACAAACCUCAACUAUAAAAACAAUCACAACUUUACACCAAUGGAUCAUCAAAAACUCAAACACCAUCUAAACUAAAACAAACAUAUACAUAUCAAAACCAACCCAAAUUAGUGAAGACCAAGAACAUCAAACUCCACAAUACCAAACUAUCUGAAAAAAUCACUGCCUUACGCCAAUCAAAACAUCAAAAAUUCAAGCACCAUACAAAUUAAAACCAACCCAAACUAGGUAAAACCAACAUCCAACCCCACAAAACCCAGCAGCAUAAAAAUCACAACUUUACUUUAUGAAUCAUCAGAAACUCAAACACCAACUAAACUAAAACAAACACACACAAUCAAAACAAACCCAAAUAAGUAAAAACUAAGAACAUCCAACCCCACAAAACUCAACAGCAUAAAAAUCCCAACUUUACUAUAUAAAUCAUCAAAAACUCAAACACCAUCAAACUAAAACAAAACACACAUAAAUCCAAACAAAUCCCAACUUUACCAAAUCAUCAAAAACUCAAACACCAUCUAAACUAAAACAAACACACACAAAUCAAAACAAACCCAAAUAAGUAAAAACUAAGAACAUCCAACCCCACAAAACUCAACCACAUAAAAUCCCAACUUUACUUCAUAAAUCAUCAAGAACUCAAACACCAUCUUAACUAAAACAAGCACACACAAAUCAAAACCAACACAAAUAAGUAAAAACUAAGAACAUCCAAUCCCACAAAACUCAACAACAUAAAAUCCCAACUUUACUUUAUAAAUCAUCAAUAACUCGAACACCAUCUAAACUAAAACAAACCUACACAAAUCAAAACCAAACCAAAUAAGUAAAAACUAAGAACAUCCAACCCCACAAAACUCAACAACAUAAAAUCCCAACUUUACUAUAUAAAUCAUCAAGAACUCAAACACAAUCUAAACUAAAACAAACACACACAAAUCAAAACAAACCCAAAUAAGUAAAAACUAAGAACAUCCAACCCCACAAAACUCAACAACAUAAAAUCCCAACUUUACUUUAUAAAUCAUCAAGAACUCAAACACCAUCUAAACUAAAACAAGCAUACACAAAUCAAAACCAAACCAAACAAGUAAAAACUAAGAACAUCCAACCCCACAAAACUCAACAGCAUAAAAAUCCCAACUUUACGUUAUAAAUCAUCAAUAACUCGAACACCAUCUAAACUAAAACAAACACACACAAAUCAAAACAAACCCAAAUAAGUAAAAACUAAGAACAUCCAACCCCACAAAACUCAACAACAUAAAAUCCCAACUUUACUUUAUAAAUCAUCAAGAACUCAAACACCAUCUAAACUAAAACAAGCAUACACAAAUCAAAACCAAACCAAACAAGUAAAAACUAAGAACAUCCAACCCCACAAAACUCAACAGCAUAAAAAUCCCAACUUUACGUUAUAAAUCAUCAAUAACUCGAACACCAUCUAAGCUAAAACAAACAUACACAAAUCAAAACCAACCCAAACUAGUAAAAACCAACAACAUCCAACCCCAACUGCAAAAAGAUCACAACUUUACUUAUGAAUCAUCAAGAACUCAAAUACCCAUUUAAACCUAACCACACAGAUACAAGAAUCCAGCAAAACACACAAAAAAAUAACCACACACAAAGCAAAAAAAAACAAAAACAAAAAAAGUUCAGCAGAAACAAGAGAGUUACCUUGUAGCUAACAAGAAGAUUGUUAAAGAGAGAUCUGAAGAUUUGAGAAAAAGGGGAUUCUUGAGAAUUAGGGUUUGUAAAGACUGCAGCUUUUUUCCAAAAACUCCUCGGAUCUACGCCGCGUAGUUCAGGAAGACAAUAUUGUGUGAAAGAGAGUUUUUAUGAUUAUGUUAUGUUUUGUCUUUAUAUGUUUCCAAAUUCCUUAUGUAAAUUUGAGUUGAAAAUAAAAAAAGAAAAAAAAUUCAAAUAAAUUUCCCUAACCUAUUAUAUUUUGGUGGUAAGUUUUAAAAAAUAUUUUCAUAAUUUAUUAAAAGUUAUUAGCAUUUUUUGGUCUUAGUAAAAUAUUUACUAAAUUAUAAUUAUUAAUUUGGGCAAACGACUUAAAUCGCAUACUUAUAAGUUUAUAAUUACAGAAAUUCCUCAAACUGAUACAGUAAUAUAAAAACUGAUACAUUAAUCUGAUGCGCGAGAUACAUUAAUCAUUAAGUAAGAUGCAUUACAUAUUAUACCUGAUACACAAAUCUGAUGUGGGAAAUACAUUAAUCUGAUACACGAGAUACAUUAAUUUGAUGCGCUGAUACAUUAAUUUGAUGCGUGAAAAAUAAGGGAUUUUGAAAAUUUGUAAAACUAAUAGGGAAUAAUGGUAAUAAAAAAACUUAAAGGCGAGAUUUCUGUCAUUUUUCACAAUUUAAUUUUGAAAUAGUAGAAUAUAAAUUUUAAUCAACAAAUUAAAAUUUAAAAUAGUAGAAAAUAUUCAUGAGAAAUUCACAUUAUAUUGUAAUUUAUAUUUGUUUUUUUUGGUCGAUUUAAAAUUAUGGGAUAAUUUUUAGGAUUAAUGAUUGUUAUGUUUUUACUUUUUUGUAGUAUGUAGUUUAUUAGUAUGUUGCAAUAUAUAAAGACUUUAAUGGAGACUUUUGGUGUUUAAUGUUUAUGGUUAAUAAUUUUUUUUCAAUAUUUAAAUUAAAUAACUAGGUUUAUCUAGGUUUCUGAUAAAUAUUUGAAAAAUAUACUCAUUUUUUGACAAUUUAAAAGGACUGAAACAGCUCAAAAGUGGUACAUAUGGGACUAUUUUGAAACUAAUAUUAAAGACAAGGGACUAUUUUCUAGUAGAAAUUUUCUCUUUUUCUGAUAAAUUUUUUUAAUUGAAUAUGAGAUUUACUUUAUAUAAGUGUUUUCUAAUCUCUAACAAAAAGAUAUAAUUUUAUUUUAACACAAAACUACUAAAGAAAAUGAACCUUUAAAAAGUAUUAUACAAUUUUAGUUUGUGAGUUUUAGUAACACACCUCACUCCGUCAUAUAAACCACAAUUUUCUUUCUGAUAACAAAGAAAACCCGCAGUCACUAUCCUUUGAGUGCACACAGAAUAAAACUUCCUCUCAUAUGCAAUAACUCGCAAAUCACUAGGCAAGCUUGGUGCGACAAGCUCGACCCAGAAGACAAACCCCUUGCUUUAGCUGGGAAGGGGUUUCGAACUUGAUUACUCCAACAUGAAAGUCCAUACCUCACUCCGUCAUAUAAACCACAAUUUUCUUUUUGAUGACAAGGAAAACCCGCAGUUACUAUUCUUUAAAUGCGCACAAAAUAAAACUCUCGUUCCUAUGCAAUAAUUCGCAAACCACUAGGCAAGCUUGAUGCGACAAGCUCGAUCCAGAAGACAUACCCCUUGCUUUAGCUGGAAAGGGGUUUCGAACUUGAGACCUCCAACACGAAAGUCUCAAGCUCAAACAACUGAGCCACCCGAAGGUCACAUAAACCACAACCUUCUAUGUUUAAAAGAAUAUAACCACAAAGUCUGGAGUACAAAUAUGAAAUAUAGCAUCAAAAUGAGAAAAAAACAGAUAAUCCAACUAAAAGCUUUACCUUCCAUAGGGAAAUAGAUCAAUUAAACAAUUCAAACAACACCAAAUACAAAGUUAUUUGGAUACUUUAAAGGUAUAAAAUGACAAACCAAACAAAAUUUGCAAAAAAAAAAAAAAGGUUUCAUUUGAAUCAGGAAAGGAACUGGUGCUGUGGCAAACCAUGGCUACCAGCAUUUCCUAAUUCCAAGUCUAGUACAAACUGAUACUAAAUCUAAGAAUAAAUAUACCAAAAAUCGCCUUAGAGGAGAUCAGCAACAUUGGCUGGGAGCUCCUCAAUUACGACGUUGUAAAACUUCUGUAUGUCAAAAAGCAUCCUUUCAUCAUCCUUGGUGACAAAGUUGAUAGCAACACCCUUCCUUCCAAAUCGUCCACUACGACCAAUACGAUGCAGGUAGUUUUCUGGUUGAGUUGGCAGGUCAUAGUUAAUAACAAGGGAGACUUGUUGGACAUCAAUACCACGAGCAAGGAGAUCGGUUGUGAUAAGCACACGAGAUGAGCCAGAUCGGAACUCCCUCAUGAUGAUAUCUCUUGUGUUCUGAUCCAUGUCUCCAUGAGUUGCAGAUACUGUGUGGUCACGUCCACGCAUUUUAUCAGUGAGCCAGUCAACCUUUCGCCUAGUGUUAACAAAGAUGACGCUCUGGGUGAUGGCCAAGGUCUCGUAAAGAUCACAUAGUGUUUCAAGCUUCCACUCUUCCUUAUCGACAUUGACAUAAAACUGCUUAAUACCUUCAAGAGUGAGCUCAUCACGCUUCACGAGAAUUCUCACAGGCUUG